This is a long non-coding RNA of Alexandromys fortis (reed vole), 179 nucleotides long. RefSeq lists it as uncharacterized. Lineage: Eukaryota; Metazoa; Chordata; Mammalia; Rodentia; Cricetidae. The record is from RefSeq and is a predicted model, not a curated record. The transcript is spliced from 3 exons.
CCGCAUCAUGCUGCCAGCACCACUGACUGAGAUGAUUCCACUGUCACGCCUUCUCCCCCAUGACUGACUGAAGUCGCCUGAAAACUUAAGCCAAGUCUGCAAACUUCAAGACCAGUGGCUUAGCAGACCGCCAGCAGAAGCUGUGGCCCAGAUUAAAGGUGUGUCUUCCUUCCUCAAGA